AACUUUUGGCAACGAAUCACUUGGCUCUCACAUCGAUGAAGAACGCAGCGAAAUGUGAUAAGUAAUGUGAAUUGCAGAAUUCAGUGAAUCAUCGAAUCUUUGAACGCAUCUUGCGCUCCUUGGUAUUCCGAGGAGCAUGUCUGUUCGAGUGUUAUGAAAAUUUCAACGCCACCCUUUCUUUGUAAAGGAAUGGUGUUUGGUUCGUGGGCGUUCGUGCCGGGAUGGUUUUUGAACCCCGCUCGGCUCGCCUGAAAUGCAUCAGCAGUUUCGUCUUUAGAAACUUGGCUUGACUUGGCGUAAUAAAUAUUUCGCUGAGGACAACCGUUUCUCGCGGUUGGCCGGUUCCUUUAGAAGAGGGCUUCUAAUGAAAUAACCUUUUCAAACUCUUUGACCUCGAAUCAGAUAGGACUACCCGCUGAACUUAAGCAUAUCAAUAAGCGGAGGCU
RNAcentral lists this unclassified non-coding RNA (446 nucleotides) under uncultured Basidiomycota. RNAcentral describes it as "sequence contains ITS2". The stretch from base 1 to 154 matches the Rfam family "5.8S ribosomal RNA". The record is from RNAcentral. Lineage: Eukaryota; Fungi; Basidiomycota.